AGAUUGAACGCUGGCGGCAGGCCUAACACAUGCAAGUCGAGCGGCAGCACGGGUACUUGUACCUGGUGGCGAGCGGCGGACGGGUGAGUAAUGCCUAGGAAUCUGCCUGAUAGUGGGGGAUAACGUUCGGAAACGGACGCUAAUACCGCAUACGUCCUACGGGAGAAAGUGGGGGAUCUUCGGACCUCACGCUAUCAGAUGAGCCUAGGUCGGAUUAGCUAGUUGGUAGGGUAAAGGCCUACCAAGGCUACGAUCCGUAACUGGUCUGAGAGGAUGAUCAGUCCACACUGGAACUGAGACACGGUCCAGACUCCUACGGGAGCAGCAGUGGGAAUAU
This 337-nucleotide ribosomal RNA is filed under the name uncultured soil bacterium. RNAcentral's name for it is "bacterial SSU rRNA". It matches the Rfam family "Bacterial small subunit ribosomal RNA", at positions 26 to 364 of the family's 1533-position model. The record is from RNAcentral.